GCCAUAUCAGAGGACUGGGAUCACUUGGUACUGGGCAUAUACUGUAUUUAAGAAGGCCUCAAAAAUAUUUCUUGAAAAUUAUUUAUUCCAUUGUAUUUCAGAUCAAUCUCCUUCGAUGCUUUCCGAUAGAGGGCGAUAUAUGUGAAACGACAUCCUCUAGUGAUAAUUAUGAUGAUUCAGAAUAAAUAAAAGAUUAGUCACGCACUGUAGUAUGAAAAAAAAUGUUAAAUAUCUCCAUACAAAAAUUUGUAAGCGAAGAGAGGAGGACUAUUAGACACGCAACAUUAACAUAUCGAAUGUCUCUG
Centruroides sculpturatus (bark scorpion) is the source of this 305-nucleotide long non-coding RNA. RefSeq lists it as uncharacterized. The record is from RefSeq and is a predicted model, not a curated record. NCBI's taxonomy places the organism in Eukaryota, Metazoa, Arthropoda, Arachnida, Scorpiones, Buthidae. The transcript is spliced from 3 exons.